CCCUUUACAAGGAAUGUAAAGCAAGGACCGCUCGUUGGGACAGUAUCUAGGCUUAGAGAAGAACGAAGCACAUUCACUCUUUGGUCUUUGGUAUUUGAGGUCCAAGAUACAGUUGUUGUCGACAUGGAGAAACCCUUUCUUGAUCAGUUUCCUGCACGCCGGUCCGACUUGGGUGAAGUAGUUGUUUGCCAAUGACAAGUUCAUCAAGCUGGGCAGCUUGCAUACCAACUCAGGCACUGCUCCAUAGAACUGGUUGUUGUCCAAGACCAGAAUCUCCAUCUUGGUCAAGCAAGCAAACGACUGCGGAAUUGGCCCUGUUAACUGGUUGUAGCUCACAUCGAACAACGUUGCCUGGUUAAGUUUUCCGAUUUCCAUUGGCAAACACCCUGUUAAGCAAGUUUAUUAGAGGUUAAAUAUUUAGUUAAGAACAUAAACAUUUGUUAAGAUUAGGGAGCAUAUAUACCUGAGAGUCUGUUAUUGAGGAAGAGGACCUCAAAAAGAGUUUUACUUGCUUUGCCGAUGGUUCUUGGGAUCGGACCCCAGAACUUGUUGUUGGCAAAAGUGAGAUAAUGUGCUGUUGAGGAGCCAAUAGCAUCAGGAAUCUUCUCAUUGAAGUUGUUGUUGUUGAGGAAGACUACAUCAAUGUCUUUGUAGAGGAACACUUGGCUUGGAACUGAACCUUGGUAAUUAUUGAACCGGAGAUCCAAGAAUGUCAAGUUUGGGGCACUUAGAACUUCAUAGGGAAACCCUCCAUCUAGCUUGUUGUUACUGAGGUCGAGCUCGUAGAAGUAUGGAAGUCUGGAUGUACCAAUCGGAACUUGGCCUGUGAAAUUGUUGGAGUUGGCAUGGAAAAACACUAGGUCUGGUAGCUGGUCUAGGAAACCGUCAAGGGGUAGCUUUGUUUCUUUGCCGCCCCAUUUGCCAGCCAACUUUCUGCCGUUGAAGUUAACUCCGGCGACUGCGUUUUGGUUAUAGACAGGGACAACACCACAGAUAAAGCCUGUGAAUUUGCAAGGAUUAUCGCCAUUCCAUGUGCCUGUGAUGUUAUCUGGAUCCACCCCGAUGAGCUUUUGGAACCUUUUAAUUACCCUGAGGGCAAUUGCAAGUCUCUCGUUCGGUGGUGCCGGAGCGGGUGGUCGUGGCGGUAGUGGUGGUGGUGGGGACGGAGGUAGUGGUGGUGGACGUGGCGGCGGCGGUGGUGGUGGGGACGGAGGUGGUGGUGGUGGAGGUGACGGUGGUGGCGGUGACGGGGAUGGUGGCGGUGGGCAAGGAGGAGGGGGAGGGGGAGGGCAGUCUACGUAUUCAGGGGAGGGAGCGUAUUCGGGGGAGGGAGCGUAUUCGGGGGAGGGAGCAGGGGGGCUGUAGCUGCCGCCACCACCACCGAUGAUUAUUUCCAAAGCUUCUCUUUCAGCACAUUCAACUACAUCAUGUUGCAGACACAAAUGUAGCAGAAGUAGUGAAAGCAAAACUGAAGCAGAGGAAGAAUGUUUGGUACCCAUUUUUGCUUACACACAUUAGGAAUCUCACAGAUAAUGCCACCUAUAUAUAAGAGAGACGAAGCAAGACUUGAGGGAGAAGAAUAGUCAAGGUUCACGAGCCAACAGCUAGAACUAAAACUAGCUCAAGGUACAUUUUGUCUUGGGGGUGAGAGUUGAGAGCUGAGAGCUGAGAGUUGAGAAUUGAGUGUGGAAAAUGGAGAAUGGAGAGGAAGUUGAGCUCUCAUUAUCAGACAGAUGGACAUUUUGUUAAUACACCAUUGUUUGUCUCUUUGAUUCCUCUGCCCUUGAAUAUUUUGCUUUUAGAAGUUUGGCCUUAGUCACUUUACAGGACUUAAAAAGCUAGUUGCGCAUCUAAGCCAAUGAUAAUGAUGAUAUGCAAAAAUAAGGUCUGACAAGGAUAAAAAUACACUUGUUUGAGUGAAACCCUUAUUUAAGUUCGAGCCUUAAUAUUCAUAAACAGUGACGGAUCAAGGAUAAAAAUCUCACAUGGGUUAAAUGCAACGCCAAAAAAAAAUUAACCAACAGUAGAAAUUUUGGUUUAUUAAAAAAGAACACACAUACAUAAAGGGACGUAGCAAGUCUUACCCUCAAAUGCAUUUACAUGAACAAAAAUUAGACACAAUAUAAUACAAGAAACACAAUUAAAACUAACUAAACUGUACUCUACGAGGCCCCAAAGCUUCAAAAUCUUUAAUCACCAUCUCAUUGUCAACCGCUUUAACAAAUUCUUUUUCAAUAUGAAGCACCAGGCAAUCAUCAAGAAAUUCAUCCUCUAUCUUGUUUCUAAGUUUGUUUUUGAUGAUGUUCAUGGAUGAAAAAGCUCUCUCAGUGGUUGCAGUAGAAACAUGAAGAGUCAACACCAAACAAAUCAACCUAUAGAUCAUAGGAUAGAAGUCUAACUUUAUUCUUUGAACGAGUUGCCGACACAAAUCAGAUAUAGAAUCUAAGGUGUGGAAUGCUACAUCCUGAGUCAUAUCUUCUUAUAAUAUGCACACUCUAAUUCCAAAGAAAGAAAGUCAUCUUGCACAAAAUCUUGAGGAUAAAAACUCUUAGCAAGAAGGAGUACCUUUUGAGUGUCAAACAAGUUGAACUUAUCAUGAGGAUCCAAAGUUGAAGUGAGCUUAAGAAGUUCGCAAGAUCUAUCAUUGAACCUCUUAUUUAGCUCACUUAAUUGAAAGUCAAGUACAACAUUGAAUACCUCUACAAGGUAGUGGUGCUCAUGUGUGAUGAAAUUCUUUUGUUGACUCCGACGACCCGUACCAUCCAACCAACGAGCACUCAUAUCAAGCAUAGCAAUAUCAUGUGUCUCACAGAAAGAUGUAAGAACCAUAAAAAAAAUCAUCCCAACAUCUCUCAUGUCUUGAAGAAGUUCUUUUGUAGUUUCAACAAACUUCAUUGCUUCUCCAAUGUCAAUGGUUUUCUGUUGUACUACUUGACAAAGAACUUCUGUGACUUUCAUGACUCUAUGCAUCAAAAUCAGACAAAGCACAAACUCAAAUUGUAAUACCCCGGAAAUUUGAUAUUAGUUUCUAAUAUUAUUUAGGAGUUUUCGAGUUAGAAGUUAGUAUGUUUUGAGGUUCGAAGGAAGAGCAUAAGCGUUUGGACGCAUAAAUUACCCGAAAGGGUAUCUUUUUCUUUAAGGGUCAGAGGGUUGACUUUUUAUUCGUUGGGUUUCUCGAGAAACUUCCUUCAUGAAAGUUGUAGAGCACGACGAUACGAGUUCGUAGACACGCGACACGCGUAAAUCGGAUAUCGUACGAGGAAGUUAUGGUCAGCGGAAGUCAUGGCUUUUCAGGAGUUUUUAGGAUAAAUAGAAAAGUUUUGGGGUGGAAACCCUAAAAUUCAGAAACUCAACUUUCUUUCUCUCUCCUCCUCCCCGAGACGCACGGGCUGCCCCAUUUUUUCCGGGGAAGAAGUCGGACAUCUGGCCACCGAUUUGAUCGCCGCCGGUCCCGAUAGUUCGGUCUCGUCCUCACCAACCCAGCUGUGCCGAUCCUUGACGCCGGCGGACGACGGACAAGGCGCAGCAAGGCCUGAAAGCCACUGCUGCAGUGACCUCUCGCCGGACCCUAAUUCGGUGACCUCUGACGACACAGCUAGCUUAGUUAGGCUUGUCUCCUCCGUGUGAAGCUUCCUAGGCUAGUGGAUGGCCUCGUCUAGAGCUGUAGCAGCAAGAGGCAAGUGGAGUAGUGUUGGCCGAAAAUCGCAAACUCCGGUGACGACAUUAGGCAGUGAGAGGUAAGCCGUGAUGCUCUCCUCCUUCUAAGUAUGAUUUUUCUAGUCAUACAACUGGUUUUUGAGUGUUGGAAACCUUGGAUUUCAGUUUGAGGCUCAAGCUUGUAGGGGAAGUUUUGAAGCAGUUUAAGGCCAAGCCAAGCUUAACUGCGGGAAUAAAAAGUGUUCCUUAUGCUGUGAUCCUCAAGUUUAAUGUUUUGAGUCUUCUCAAAUUAGGAAGUUUGUGGUGGCGCGUGGGGCCCACUCGCCGCCGCCUGUGACGGCGUGUGGCAGCGCGUCCGGCAAUGUUUGGGGCUUAGUUGCUGUGUUGUAGCUAGCUCUUGUUGUUUUGAGCUUGUUGAGAUGUGGAAUUCUAGGUUUGGUGUAAGGUUUGCAUGUUAGGACUUUAAGUUUAAUCUUAGGCUUGUGUGAGGUUUGAGUUUAGGUUUGGAGGAUUAGAGGCAGCUUUAUUGAGUGACGACCUUGGAAAGUUGUCCUCCUGUGGGUUAAGGUUUGUUAAGGGUGCAAUAUUCUCAUUAGUUUGUUUGGUAACUAAGGUUAGUAUUUGUGUAAUUUUAGGUGUUUGGUGAAGAGUGAUUGGCUUGGCUUAGCUUUUUUGUUUGUGGAAGACGCAGCUGGAUAUAUUUAGGUGAGUAACAUCUCACCAAGGUUCACUUAGAACCAAUUAUUUAUGAAAUUGUGAUGAUGGUUAUAAUAAUUAUUGCGUGCUAAAAAUGAUUAUUUUGAUGAUGAUGGUGAUGUUGAUAAGGUUUAUGUUGAUAAAAUGAUGAUGAAUUAUGAUGAUGAUGAUGAUUUUUAUUGAUGAUUAUGAUGUUUUUAAUUUAAAAAUUUUAUUUUUGGUUGUUUUAAAAUAUAUGAGCUUGAUCGCCAACGGCUCAUAGGUAAGAUAAAACAAGUUUUCCUAUUAUAUGAUUAUUUUUAAGGUUCAUGAAAUUAUAAUAUUUUUGGUUCUUGUUAGGUUAUUCUUGUGGGAAUAACUAUGUCUUGUGCAUAUAAAUAUAUUUAUGUGGAAGGAUAUAAUUUUUAUGAUGUGUGCUUUGUGUUGUUGAUGAUGUUGAAUUAAAGAAUGAUGAUAAUUUAAAUGUUAUGCUUUUUAGAUAAUUGUGGUUGUUAUGAUGAUGAUGAUGAUGAUGAUGAUGAUGAUGUUGAAUUAAAGAAUAUGCUAUUGUUUGUUUUUAAAAAUAAAUGAGCUUAAUCGUCAACGGCUCAUAGGUAAGAUAAAACAAGUAGAUAGUCAAACUAGGUUUCAAGCCCUUAAUCGGGUGAUUGGUUGCUGUUAUGAUGAUUCUACUCUUUUUGAGAAUUGUUGUAUAGAUAGUCAAACUGGGUUCCAAGCCUUUAGUCGGGUGAUUGGUUACGGUUAUGAUUCUAUUAUUAUUUUGUGAUGUGAUAUUGGACAGUCAAACUGGGUUCCAAGCCUUUGGCCGGGUGAUUGGUUACGGUUAGGAAUAAAGCUCUAGUCCGCCUGUCGGUGUAGGUCAUGGGAGAUACCUUAUGGUAUCUGGGACCCAUGGGUGCACAAAUUGUUGUUGUAGGUCAUGAGAGGUAUUUUUUAAUAUCUGGGACUCAUGGAUACAUGUUAUUUGUGAAAGUGUUGAAAUUAUGGUUUUAACUUUGUUCUUAAUUGUUGUCAUUUAACUUGUUUUGAGUAUCUCCUGAACUAUGCUUAAUGCAGGAGAUUCUUCAAUUCUUAUUGUGUGAUUUUUGAGUGGAAUUUUCCUGAACUAUCUUUAUUUGUAGGAUUCUCUUAUGAUUGAUUGUUUUGUGAAUUGUUAUGUUUUCUCAAUUUCUCUCUUUGAAUUUUAUUGUUGAGGCAAUUCUUGAACUAAGUGCUAAGCAUGAAUUUUCGGUUUUAUUUUGUGUGAUGUUGGGUAGAGAUAUAUAUUGAGAGUUACUCAUACGGGCUUUUUAGCUUACCGGGUUUGUUGUUUAUAACCCGGUGCACCAAUUUAUGGUGUAGGGGUUAGACCUGCAGGUGUUGAUCAGCAGGGUUGAAGCGGUGGCUUAGGAGCUGGGUUUUAGACAAUGUAUAAUUAUUUGUAUAUUUUGUUAUUUUGUCUUUAAGCUCUUGUGAGCGACGUUAUUAUUUCUAGACUUUUGAAGUUAAUGUAAUUAGAGAGAUAUAAUGUUUAACUCAAUUGUUGAGUUUGUUGACAAUUACAUUUCCAGUAUUUGUUUUUAGUUUGUUAGUUGUUGAGCAGGUUUUGGGAUUUUAAAAUUUUAAGUUAUAUCAUGCCCAAAUUUUUGAAAUUUUAUCCUUCGAAAAUUUCGAAAAUUGGGGUGUGACACAAAUGAUCUCAUAGCUCUGAGAAUAUCACUAGCUUCUCCCUGAACAUGUAAGGUUGCAGUGUCCAUCAUAUGAUCCAGAGUUGCCACGGUUGAACCAAAUAAUUCAAUCAUACUCCUAAUAGAACGAAAAUGAGAGCUCCAACGAUCAGUAGAAGGUCGUUGCAAAGUGUAAGUUUGAUUAGAGCCCGUACCUGAUUGAAGAUUGUGAAUUAGCAAAGUGCAAGUAUAAUCAAGAAUAUGAUAUCUAUUGAUGCAAAUAGAAUACAAAUUAAAAUUAGCGUCAUACCUGUUUGAAGAUUGCCAAGAGCUAUCAAAUUUAGGAUUUCAUCCUCUCUAGCAGCUUUUAGGGCACCUUUGCGCUUAGCAGAUGAAUCCAUAAAAUUCACAACAAGUAAUAGAGUAGAAAAGAAGCGAUAUGUAUCAUGAACACCCUUAGCCGCACCAUUUAGAGCUAGCUGCAAACGGUGAGCAAAACAAUGAAGAUAGUACGCAUAGGGACAAUCUUCAAGAAACAAUGCAUGUAAGCCAUUCCAAAUACCACUCAUGUUACUAGCUCUGUCAUACCCUUGACCACGCAUAUUUUCCACUUGUAGAUUGAACAUACUGAGAACUUUAACUAUCUCCAAUUUAAGAGUUAAUGAGGUUGUGUCAGAAACACUCACUAUCUUAAGGAACCGUUCUUGGAUGAAGCUAUGACGGUCAACAAACCUCAAAAUUAUAAACAUUUGUUCCUUGUCAGCUACAUUAACAAGAAUGCAAAACUUCGCAUCAUCAACUUCUUCACGAAUCAUUUGCCUCACUCUAUUACCAAGAAUAUUUAAGAGCUGCUUUUGAAUAGAUAGAGAGAUGUACUUAGCAUUUCUAGGAGAAUUCUGCAAUAUAACCCUAUCAUCAUCACUAGCCAUUCUUUCAUAAGACUUUCUAACUUGCUUAAAAUUUCCAUCAUUAAGAGAGCUUUCAGAUUCAUCAUGGCCCCUAAAAGCUUGUCCUUGGUUUGCUAGAAGUCUCACACCCUUUAUUGUAGCCUUCAAUCUAAAUCGAUUAUGCUCCACCUCUUUUGCUGUUCUUUUCACAAAAACUCUCUCAAUUUGUGUAGCCAAAUUUCUCAAGAGGUGCCAUUUCUCCAUGGCUUCAUGAUGUGAACUCCCUAUAGACCCCAUAUGUACUGUAAGCACACUCUUUUGCUUCCAAUUUCUCAAUCCAUCUACAGUAAAAGCAGGAUGAAGAGGGUUUUCUUUAUCAAAAAGAAAACAAGGGAAACAAUAUAUCUUGUCUUGAUCCUCCGAGUACUCAAGCCAUGAAUGACCUUCAAACCAAUCAAAGUUAAACUUACGAUUUUGUGUCCCAUGAAGUGAAAGAGGAUAAUGUUUCAGCUUAGAUUGACAUGGACCUAAUGCAACAUAAGCUUUUCAAACGGCUUCGAGUUGAUUCGCAGGAUACUUCCAUAAAGGACACCGUUUGCCCGAAUCACGUUCAAUGGCAUUGACAUUGCCAUGGGGAUCAAACUCAUUCCUCUGAGGCCGAAAUAAAGGAGACUCUGAAGACGGUUCUUCAGCUACUCCAACAGGAAUUGGAGGAAUUGGAGUGCCUACAGAGGCUUGUGAACUUGAACAUGAUGACGAUUGAACUUUUCUGAACCAUGUGCUAAUAUCUUAUGAUCUAGGCCUUUUGACACGAUUAAUUUGCUCAUCUGACAUUAUGUAAUUCCAAUUAAAAUUUCCAACAAUUCAGUAAUUCAUUACUUAACAAGACAACAAUUCAAUUGAAUAAGCAUACUAGCAGCCUAGUUCAUUCAAUUGACUUCAAAUUCAAUUUCAUACUUCAAGUUCAAGAAGGAACACAAAUACAAUGGUCUCAGUCUCUCACAGACUCAGACUCUCAGUGAACACAAAUACCCAGAAGGAACAUAACUACACAAGUAAUGACUAAUCAGAAUUAAGAAAUAAGAAUAUACACACCUAGACGGCUGCCGGUUGGACUUGGUCUCAGUGGUCUGCAACCGAGUAGCAGAUGGCGAGCAGCAGUCAGCAGAGCAGGCGAAGCCGCGACCGGCGACGAGCAGACGAUGGCGAGCAGGCGGAGCAGCCGAGCAGGCAACUGCAUAUGGCUGAGAGUCUGAGACGAGCAACAGUCAAUAGAGCGGCGACGAGCGAGCAGGCGGAGCAGCCGAGCAGUCGCUCACACAGUCACACUCGUGUUUCGAAGUUUGGAGCUGAGAGACUGAGACGAGUUGGAUGGCUUGACUGCUGGAGGGCUGGAGGCUGAACUGGAGCGACACACUCACACACAUAGUUGUAGGGCUAAUUUUUUUUUUUUAUUGGGUCUGGUAGAAUUUUCGGCCUAAGGAUCUCACCUACGCUCCAGCCCAGGCAAGCCUUGGGUUGGAUCCGCCACUAUUCACAAGUCCCUUAUUGGUAGGUUGAUGGGGGACAUACGAGACUUAUAUGACGGUGGUAAAAAGUGUCAGUCUGGGUCAUCAUGAGACCCGACUGUUGGAUGCCGCAAGCUUACACUCAUGUAGCAAUUGGUUUGGACCAGAUGUUAGUUAGGUUCCCGCGAGCCGCAUGUGGUUUAUAAAGUUUCUGAUUUGGUGGGCUGCCUCUCUUCAAUCUAAAUACCAUCCACCAAGAAAGGAAAAAAUCUAAUUAUGUGUAUCGUUACAUCAAAGAGACAAAGCACGAUAAUUGUGGUAAACAAAUCGAGAAGCAUAGAAGAUCACCACAAGUGGUCUGGUCGAGUUAGUAAGAGCAUCCAAUUGUGGAACCCUAACGCUUGGGUUUGAAUCUUGCGAUAUUGAUCAAAGUUAAGUCUCAAUAUACUCUUAAUGGUCGUAGAGAAUUAAGUAAAUAAGAUGGAGAGAAAGAAUGUUUUGAAGUUUUAAGAGGGGAUUUGAGACAAAUGAGUGAAUGACCACGAGAGCAUUUUGGACCCAACUUGACUAAUAUUGGCUGAAAGAUAAAAGAGGACGUAGGGCACUUUUGCACAAGAUGACAUAUCAAUUAUUUGGGGUUAUUCACUCAUUACACAUGGGGAGAUCUACGACCCCUAGAGCAUGUCCACCCAUUGCUAAAAAACUUAAUUCAGAUCACUUUCACAUAAGCAAAGUGACCCAACUACAAAAAACAAGUUUCCACCCAUAAAAAUGGGCCUUCCCCAAAUCAACCUAAGUCACUUUGGGUUAAAUGCUAGGUUAGUGUGUUAACCCAACAAACUGACCCAGGUUGAUUCACUCACACAGCUGCCAAGUGAGCCAAACAUGCGCACAUGGCUUAAGUCAGCCAUUACCUCUACAAAUCCUGACCGUUGCUCCUAUUUGAAAAUGCAAUCUAACGGCUCCAAAACAAUGAGCCAUUGGGUUUGAAUUUUUUUUUUAUAACCAAUCAGAUAAUUGCAAUGUUUUUGUAAUUGCUUUUAUAAAUAAUUUGAAGGGUCUUUUUCAAAAGGGAAGAGAAUAAUAAAAAUGGUAACCAAAAAAUAUUUAAAAAUAUAGGAAAUUUUCUAUAAAUACCAUGGAAAUAAUUAUUUGUGUUAUAGGAAAAUGGAAAUUGGUCUACUCAUUUCAUUGAAGCUCCUCUUUAUAUAGAGGUGAUAUUACAAAGAUAACUAUAACGUACAUAAUGACAAUAAAAUCUAAUUGAUAACUGAUUGAACAAUUACACUAAUUGAUUACUAAUUACAUAAUUUACUCUCGUCGGUUAUGACUUUGACGAACGCACACAUAAAUGUGUUUUUCCUUCAACAAUUUGCAACUAAAAUCAUAUAUAUAUAUAUUGUUUUCACCAUCAUUUAUUUGAUACUAAAAUCAUUAUUCACACUUAAAAACGUUUUUUAAAAUUCAAUAAACAGUCACUGUCACGUGGCAGCAAUCUCACAUUUCUAACUGGUGGAAACUAUUGCCCAAUCAUAGUGACCCAGAGUGACCCAUGUUACUUAAGUGACCCAAAUCACUGCAUUCAUCUAACUUAACAGGUGAACUUACUCUUAGCUUCCGCAUCUAAACAGCAAACAAUGAUUAUCUGUCCGGACGAAAAGUGGGUAAGCAAUUUUAUCAAAUAAACAACGAUCAACGAUCAAAUGGUACAACGAAAUUAUCGUGAAUUAAAUUCAUAAUCUCACACUUAAAAACGAGAUAUUAUCUCGUUAAGACAAAUAGUACUGAAUGCCUACAAUAGGUAUCUACCUAUAUAUCUUACCAUCUAAUACCAACAGUCGUCUUCUAACAUUACCGACCUAUACAUGUACACACACACAUCAAUUCUGCACCUAUACAUAAACACAUGUCUGAAUUCAGGGAAAAAGGAGUGUAUAUAGCAACUCAGAUCGAUCAAUCAUAAAUAUCAUGCACGGGCAACAGUAAAACAUUUGUACAUGAACUCCUAGUCAUUUGCCAGGUGAAUAUCUACCUAGCUAGCUGAGCACAAUCAACUUUAGGUCUUUGGGAUAAUUAAUCUUGCCCUUGUGUGUCUGGUGUCUUUGAUAAUGAUCAACUUGAGAAUAUCUAUCGUGUUUCGAACAGAAUCGACAGGUAGGCAGAUGUACAACACACAAGUGCACGUUCUAUAAAGCAUAAGAACGAAACGAAAUAAUCCACAUACAGACCAAAAAUAAAUAAAACAAAAGUGGAAGUAUCGCCAAAAGUUUUUAUUUUUUUAUUUUUAUUUUUUUUAAAGAAGAAACAAAAAGGUUGAAUAAUUAAGUUUGACAACAAACAAAAACAGUUCCCCUCACUUCAAGGCAGAGAUCGGAAGAAUCCCAGCUUGCCAGUGCCUCAGUCUAAUUUUUUUUUUUUUUUGGGUAAGCGGGUAUAGGACUAACAUCGUCCUAACCCGAAAAUUUAUUGAUAAGAUAAAAAAAAGAGUACAAACCUCAGUCUAAUUGUUUAGUUUACAUGAUGUUGCACGUAACACCCUAGUCUAGCUGCACAUCCUAGCCUUGACCAGUUCAAUUUCCUGAAGUGUCUUGUUUUUUGGUCGGCCAAAGAAAUGUGUUUAUUUGGUGAAGUUUUGAGUUCCUCCAAUUUGUGUUGAUUGGUGUGAAUCAUGCAACUUAUUGUUGUGUUGUUGUAUUCUAGAGGAGAUAAGUUAAGAGAUUUAUGAUGCAUCGGUAUUACUCUAUAUAGGACUUCAAUCUUUUUAAAGAGAGCGAGAUAUCCAGGGGCGGAGCCAGCCCAGAUGAAGUUGAAGCCCAAAAAAAAGAAACCAACUUCUAUAUAAAAAAUAAAAAAAUUAAAAAAAUCCAAAUAUACCCUAAAUAUACCAAAAUCCCUUUUACCCAUCGUUCUCAACUUCUCAUUCUCACUACUCACAGCCACGCCCAAAGACCCAAAUCCUUUGCCCAUCGUAGAUUGGCCCUUGGUCGUCGCUCUCACCUCCCGUCGCUCUCGCCGCUCGUCGUCCUUCAGCCCUUGGCCGUCGCUGCCGAUGCCCAUCCCAGAUUCUCAGUCUGGUAGUCCCCGAUCCCUACUUCCUGACUUCAUGUCUUCCUCAAUCCUCAAUCCUCAGACCUUAGGUAUGGCUAUUGACUAAUGGCUCUUUGCCUAAACUUUGAUUAUUUGAAUCAAACUAUAGAAAUUCAUUAGGGAAUAAGGAUUACUAAAUUUUGAUUGUUGUUUGACUUGUUCUUUGCCUAAAUUUGAUUGUUGUUUUACUAAAUUAGGGAAUAGAAUUCAAUAGGGAAUACUGGAAUAGGGAAUAGAAUUCAGUUAACUACUUAACUAUAUGUUUGUUUGGCAUGCUUUCACAGACAUAUAUUUAUAUUUUUGGUUAAGAUUAAAGCUUGAUGUUGAAUUGUUGAUCAGUUGAUAUUUAUGUAAGGCACAUCCAUUUUUGUUUGACAGAAAUAGAUGAUGAUAUGUUGAUGAAUUUUACAUAAUGUCUGAUGAACACAUUGAUCGUGUUAAAAGGCCUAGAUCAAAAGAUAUAAGUACAUGGUUUAGUAAAAAGAGUGCUCAAGCGGUUGAAUUUGCUGAAGCGGUUGACAAUGAGGCGGUGAUUAAUGAUUUUGAAGCUUUGGGGCCUCGUAGAGUAAAGUUUAGUUAAUUUUUAUUUAUGCGUUUAAGGGUAAGGCUUACUAUGUCCUCCUAUGUAUGUGUGUCCUUUAUUAAUUAACUAAAAUUUCUCAUAUUGUCGAACAAAAUUUUUUGUAUGCUACAAUUAGCCCAAGUGACAUUUCUCAUACUGGCUCCGCCACUGAAAAUAUCCAUACCUCAACCUAUUGUGAUCGAAUUUCUAAAAUUAAAAUUGUAAGAUUAAUUAUAAUCUCCAAAUCUAUUCCACCGCAAUAAUGCAGUUCUCUUUCUUGGAAGUGGAAACCAAGAGCUUGACCAUACCUUAAAGCCAUAACCAUGCAUAUGGGGUGAAGUACUUUAUAUAAAGGUUAAUAAACACUUAUAUAUUCAGAUAAAACACAUUUUAUUUGAAAUAUAUAUAUAUAUAUAUAUAUAUAUAUAUACAGUAUUNNNNNNNNNNNNNNNNNNNNNNNNNNNNNNNNNNNNNNNNNNNNNNNNNNNNNNNNNNNNNNNNNNNNNNNNNNNNNNNNNNNNNNNNNNNNNNNNNNNNNNNNNNNNNNNNNNNNNNNNNNNNNNNNNNNNNNNNNNNNNNNNNNNNNNNNNNNNNNNNNNNNNNNNNNNNNNNNNNNNNNNNNNNNNNNNNNNNNNNNNNNNNNNNNNNNNNNNNNNNNNNNNNNNNNNNNNNNNNNNNNNNNNNNNNNNNNNNNNNNNNNNNNNNNNNNNNNNNNNNNNNNNNNNNNNNNNNNNNNNNNNNNNNNNNNNNNNNNNNNNNNNNNNNNNNNNNNNNNNNNNNNNNNNNNNNNNNNNNNNNNNNNNNNNNNNNNNNNNNNNNNNNNNNNNNNNNNNNNNNNNNNNNNNNNNNNNNNNNNNNNNNNNNNNNNNNNNNCCUCUCUCUCUCUCUCUCUCUCUCUCUCUCUCUCUCUCUCUCUCUCUUUGUAUUCAACAGUUUCAAUAAUGAAGACUUGAGGGUAGCCGCAUCAGCCCUUAUUCAAGAAAAAAAGAAAAAAAGUUACAAUGAUCUUUUCUCUUCUCUUUAAGCACAUAGCAUAUAUAAACUUUUUCCUUCAUUUUUAGCAUUUAAGAGAAUGUAGAUUGCACUCUAAAGUAGACUUUUUCCUUCGUUCUUAUGUAACUAGAGGAGAUCGGGAAAUCAAGAUUAUCAUAUUUGAUAAGGUUAACCAGACUUAAAGAUCUGUGUAUUUUAUUAAUUCAUGGAACUAGAAGUUUCAUGUGUACAAUUUAUUUAUGUUUUGCUCUUUACAGUUUUCUUAUUUUGUUAUGCAAUUUCAUUAUUGUACUUAUCUUUUAAAUUUUAUUAUUAUUCAUUCGAGUCAACAACCCUACAUCUCGAUUAUAUAAAUUUCGAGUGUAAUAUUUUUGGACCAGAAGUCUCAAAAUAUUGCAUUGUAGAACCCGAAGUUUUAAUAGUAAAUAUUCGAACUUGAAGCUUCGAUUACACAUAUAAUAUAAUUUAUGGCUCCAGAAGAGCACAUACUGUGCUAAAUUUAUCCAAUAACUUGUGGCAUAUAGUUAUAUCAUGAACCAGAAGUUCAUUGAACCAAAUACAUUAUUUGGCAUGACUCUUUGUGUCAUAUUUUAUCUACAGUGUUGCUUGGAAACAAUAGCAAAUUUUGAUGACCACUAACCCUACUCAUAGCCAAUUGUUUAUUUGUCGCAUAAUUUUGAGUCGUCAUAAGGGGGAUGUUAGAACCAAUCCAAUAUCCGUUCAAAAACAGUAUAUAUAAUAACGAAAUCAAAAAGAAAUUGAAAAUAACAAUGGAAAAUAAACAAUACUAACUUGAUUGAUCAGAUAGAGGUCUGCCGUGCAGUGACCUAAGACAGAAAUUCGUCCCCACUUGUGCUGCAGUUUCGGACGUGUAUCUAGAGGAUACAACUAUUUGGUUCAAGUUCUAGCACAGGAACUUGACCCUAACGAAUUUACUUUAUGCUUCAGAAGAAAUAGUUUUGGGGAGGAAGAAGAAUGAUUCAAUGAUUAAAACAACGACAAAAGUCGUCUUUAUAUAAAAAUCAAUUUGAACAGGUAUAACUGUUUGAACAGACAUAACUGCUCAGACAAUUGUAACUGUUUGGACAGUUAUGUUUUUUGAUAUUUAUCCAAAUUAAUAAUUAAAUUAAAUAAUAUUAAUUUUCAAAAAUUAAAUUCGGAUUUAAUCAACAGAACCCCAAGGCCCAAGGCCCAAUCUUUGACUUUUAGUAAAUAUAUAUAUAAAUAUAUAUUUAUUUAUUUAUUUAUAUUAGAAACCCAAUAGAAACCCCACCAAGCCCAUAUUAAGUCUAUCAUCCAUUUAUUGAGUCACAUGGGUGUUUCCAUAUAAAGACUCACACAUUUAAUUAUUUUUCAAUGUGGGAUAAAUACCACACAAGUUCCAAUAUGGGAGAGAGAUUAUUCCUGAAGAACGAUGUAGAGUGGUGAGAGUUGUUUAUAAUGUUUUUGACCUCAUACUUGGUUUAGCUUCGCCACCAGCCAAUGAACAUCUCACUCGAAAGAAAGUGAUAGAUCUUUAGACGCAAUAUAUGCUUAUGGUCAAAAUAAGACUGUCUUCCCGUAGUUAGGGGGAGAAUAAGACUACUGUCAUUUGAAUAAUGGCGUGAAUUUGAGUGGAAUGUAUCCACUAGGUCUAAAGUUUUAAGCUCCUGAAAAUGGAAGAUUAUACAGGUCAUCUAAUGGUAUACAUGAUAUUACAAGUAAAAGAUCCACAUUCGCUAUAUUAUAUUUGUCCUAGAAGUAACAACAUUUGCCCCCGAAGUGGCAUGGGUACCCAAUAUCAAAAAUGCAUGCAUAUAAGAAUGUGUGGCAUCUAUGAAUGAUGAUCAUUUAUGAAAAUUUAUAAAUGGUAGCUAACAAAGACCAUUAAGA
RNAcentral lists this long non-coding RNA (14908 nucleotides) under Fragaria vesca (wild strawberry). RNAcentral describes it as "long non-coding RNA (FVES_LNC003250)". Lineage: Eukaryota; Viridiplantae; Streptophyta; Magnoliopsida; Rosales; Rosaceae. The record is from RNAcentral.